GAUGAACGCUGGCGGCGUGCCUAAUACAUGCAAGUCGAGCGAACAGACGAGGAGCUUGCUCCUCUGCCGUUAGCGGCGGACGGGUGAGUAACACGUGGAUAACCUACCUAUAAGUCUGGGAUAACUUCGGGAAACCGGAGCUACUACCGGCUAAUAUAUUGAACCGCAUGGUUCAAUAGUUCAAGACGGUUUUGCUGUCACUUAUAGAUGGAUCCGCGCCGCAUUAGCUAGUUGGUAAGGUAACGGCUUACCAAGGCAACGAUGCGUAGCCGACCUGAGAGGGUGAUCAGCCACACUGGAACUGAGACACGGUCCAGACUCCUACGGGAGGCAGCAGUAGGGAAUCUUCCGCAAUGGGCGAAAGCCUGACCGAGCAACGCCGCGUGAGUGAUGAAGGUCUUCGGAUCGUAAAGCUCUGUUAUUAGGGAAGAAAAAAUGUGUAAUAAACUAUGCACGUCUUGACGGUACCUAAUCAGAAAGCCACGGCUAACUACGUG
RNAcentral lists this ribosomal RNA (497 nucleotides) under uncultured bacterium. RNAcentral describes it as "partial 16S ribosomal RNA". It matches the Rfam family "Bacterial small subunit ribosomal RNA", at positions 28 to 507 of the family's 1533-position model. The record is from RNAcentral.